AUGGUGAAAGCUGACGCAAUUUGUUUAGCCCCAGAACAGGUACAGGGGUGCUCCGUUCCUCACUGCUGAGCUCCAGGACCACCUGUGGGGAUGAAAGGGCUCCUCAGGACCCAGGUCCAGCCAGGGCUUGGCUUCC
This 136-nucleotide small RNA is filed under the name Lonchura striata (white-rumped munia). Its description in RNAcentral is "domestica (Bengalese finch) TUC338 (ENSLSDG00000009564.1)". Lineage: Eukaryota; Metazoa; Chordata; Aves; Passeriformes; Estrildidae. The record is from RNAcentral.